UUCCAGACUCCUACGGGAGGCAGCAGUGGGGAAUAUUGCACAAUGGGGGGAACCCUGAUGCAGCGACGCCGCGUGGGUGAAGGAGCACCUCGGUGCGUAAAGCCCUAUCGGCAGGGAAGAAACAGACGGUACCUGACUAAGAAGCCCCGGCUGACUACGUGCCAGCAGCCGCGGUCAUACGUAGGAUCCGAGCAUUAUCCGGAGUGACUGGGUGUAAAGAGUUGCGUAGGUGGCAUAAUAAGUAGCUAGUGAAAUCUGGUGGCUCAACCAUUCAGACUAUUAGCUAAACUGUUAAGCUCGAGACCGUUAGGGGUAACUGGAAUUUCUAGUGUAGGAGUGAAAUCCGUAGAUAUUAGAAGGAACACCAAUAGCGUAGGCAGGUUGCUGGGACGGUUCUGACACUAAGGCACGAAAGCGUAGGGAGCAAACGGGAUUAGAUACCCUGGUAU
Molecule: ribosomal RNA, 449 nt
Filed under: uncultured bacterium
Lineage: Bacteria
Description: bacterial SSU rRNA
Rfam family: Bacterial small subunit ribosomal RNA
Source: RNAcentral